AUUGAACGCUGCGGCAGGCUUAACACAUGCAAGUCGAGCGAGCGGCGGACGGGUGAGUAAUGCUUAGGAAUCUGCCUAUUAGUGGGGGACAAGAUCACGAAAGGGAUGCUAAUACCGCAUACUAAUAGAUGAGGAUAAGUCGGAUUAGCUAGAUGGUGGGGGAAAGGCCUACCAAGGCGACGAUCUGUAGCGGGUCUGAGAGGAUGAUCCGCCACACUGGGACUUAGGCAAGGCCCAGACUCCUACGUGAAGGCGCAGUUGGGAAUAUUUGACAAUGGGGGGAAACCUGAUCCAGCCAUGCCGCGUGUGUGAAGUAGGCCUUAUGGUUGUAAAGCACUUUAAGCGAGGAGGCGUUACUCGCAGAAUAAGCACCGGCUAACUCUGUGCCAGCAGCCGCGGUAAUAC
RNAcentral lists this ribosomal RNA (405 nucleotides) under uncultured bacterium. RNAcentral's name for it is "partial 16S ribosomal RNA". It matches the Rfam family "Bacterial small subunit ribosomal RNA", at positions 30 to 526 of the family's 1533-position model. The record is from RNAcentral.